GCCUUAGUAGUAUAAAUAUUAUACUGGUCUUGUAAACCAGAGAUGGAGACCUACAUCUCCCUAAGACA
This 68-nucleotide transfer RNA is filed under the name Cryptotis merriami (Merriam's small-eared shrew). RNAcentral's name for it is "tRNA-Thr". Lineage: Eukaryota; Metazoa; Chordata; Mammalia; Eulipotyphla; Soricidae. The record is from RNAcentral.